CUUGUACAUGAUGCACUCAGAGAGCGCCACCAGACCCAGCAGCAGCAGCCACUUCAUGGUUCUUCCCGGGUCCCAACUCGAGGGAGAAGGCAAGAUGGGAGGAAGGUUGUCGUAUCCGAGGAUGCCUGUCAUGCUGCCGGUGCCGUAGGUGAUGGAGACUGUCUCGCUGGUGGACUGGUAGGUGGAAGAAUCCUCAGGGUUGAAGCGGUUGUGCUUCUUCAGGAAGUCCUUCAGCAGGCCACGCUCGGACAGGGUGCGCCUCAAGGACUUCUUUCUGAUGAGGGGGACCCUGUGGUUUGGAGAAG
RNAcentral lists this long non-coding RNA (305 nucleotides) under Homo sapiens (human). Its description in RNAcentral is "HSALNT0175801". Lineage: Eukaryota; Metazoa; Chordata; Mammalia; Primates; Hominidae. The record is from RNAcentral.